Molecule: long non-coding RNA, 358 nt
Filed under: Glycine max (soybean)
Lineage: Eukaryota; Viridiplantae; Streptophyta; Magnoliopsida; Fabales; Fabaceae
Description: long non-coding RNA (GMAX_LNC001441)
Source: RNAcentral
UUGUGUUGGCCUUUGGUGCUGUAUCCGCGAUCAUGCAGGUAACAUGAUAGUUGCUCAUGCAUCACCUCCUGCUUCGAAGUUAUGGAAGGAGAAACUGUCUCUCUAUCGAGUUCUCUUCAGUUUCUAAUCUCCUUUGGUCUUUGAAAUGUAAUGUAAAGGCAUUGUCGAUAAGCUGAAUAACACCAACCUAGACAGUUCAGAAUGUGGUACCAUUAUUUUCAAAUCUCAAUCUAUUUUUGUCAUGUAAUCAUACCUUCAAAGUGAUUUUUGUUAGGAGGCUAGCCAAUGAAGUUGUCCAUGCUUUAGCAAAAGUGGCUUCUACUUAUCCUAGCUUCCAAGUCUUUAGUCAUGUCCCCCA